CCUACGGGGGGCAGCAGUAGGGAAUCUUUCACAAUGGGCGAAAGCCUGAUGGAGCAACGCCGCGUGCAGGAUGAAGGCCUUCGGGUUGUAAACUGCUUUUAUAAGCGAGAAAUAUGAUGGUAACUUAUGAAUAAGGAUCGGCUAACUACGUGCCAGCAGCCGCGGUCAUACGUAGGAUCCGAGCAUUAUCCGGAGUGACUGGGUGUAAAGAGUUGCGUAGGUGGCAUAAUAAGUAGCUAGUGAAAUCUGGUGGCUCGACCAUUCAGACUAUUAGCUAAACUGUUAAGCUCGAGACCGUUAGGGGUAACUGGAAUUUCUAGUGUAGGAGUGAAAUCCGUAGAUAUUAGAAGGAACACCAAUAGCGUAGGCAGGUUGCUGGGACGGUUCUGACACUAAGGCACGAAAGCGUAGGGAGCAAACGGGAUUAGAUACCCGUGUAGUC
Molecule: ribosomal RNA, 442 nt
Filed under: uncultured bacterium
Lineage: Bacteria
Description: partial 16S ribosomal RNA
Rfam family: Bacterial small subunit ribosomal RNA
Source: RNAcentral